UACGUAGGGGGCAAGCGUUGUCCGGAAUCAUUGGGCGUAAAGCGCGCGUAGGCGGCCCGGUAAGUCCGUUGUGAAAGUCAAAGGCUCAACCUUUGAACGCCGAUGGAUACUGCCGGGCUAGAGUCCGGAAGAGGCGAGUGGAAUUCCUGGUGUAGCGGUGGAAUGCGCAGAUAUCAGGAGGAACACCAAUAGCGAAGGCAGCUCGCUGGGACGUGACUGACGCUGAGACGCGAAAGCGUGGGGAGCAAACAGG
This 253-nucleotide ribosomal RNA is filed under the name uncultured bacterium. RNAcentral describes it as "partial 16S ribosomal RNA". It matches the Rfam family "Bacterial small subunit ribosomal RNA", at positions 524 to 776 of the family's 1533-position model. The record is from RNAcentral.